CACACCGCCCGUCACACCAUGAGAGUUGGGAAUACCCGAAGCCUGUGAGCUAACUUUUAGAGGCAGCAGUCGAAGGUAGAAUCAAUGAUUGGGUGAAGUCGUAACAAGGUAAC
This 113-nucleotide ribosomal RNA is filed under the name uncultured bacterium. RNAcentral describes it as "partial 16S ribosomal RNA". It matches the Rfam family "Bacterial small subunit ribosomal RNA", at positions 1386 to 1500 of the family's 1533-position model. The record is from RNAcentral.